AUGGUGCGGGGUCUGCCGGUGAUCGAGCACGCCCAGCAGCUCCGCGACAGCUGCUUGGCGAGGAAGCAAAGGAGGGCUCCGUUCCCGCAGGCGGCAAAGUGGCGAGCAGAUGACCCGCUGGACCUGGUCCACGGUGAUCUAUGCGGCCCGAUAGCGCCGGCCACGGCCGGGGGCAAGCGCUACUUCCUCCUUCUCGUCGACGAUCUGAGCCGCUACAUGUGGCUCACGCUCCUCACCACUAAAGACGAAGCCGCGACGGCGAUCAAGCACUUCAAGGCCGGAGCUGAGGUGGAAACUGGGCGGAAGCUGCGCUUGCUCCGCACGGACCGUGGAGGGGAGUUCACAUCCGCCACGUUCACCACGUUCUGCGCUGAGGAGGGCAUGGGGCGCCAGCUAACGGCGCCCUACUCACCGCAACAAAAUGGGGUGGUGGAGCGGCGUAAUCAGACGAUCAUCGCCGCCGCGAGGAGCUUGAUGAAGGCGAGGGGGGUUCCGGCGCGGUUUUGGGGGGAGGCGGUCACCACCGCCGUGUACCUCCUCAACAGAUCACCGACGAAGAGCGUCGACGGCAGGACACCCUACGAGGUAUGGCACGGUCACAAGCCCGAUGUGAGCCACUUACAUGUGUUCGGCUGUGUCGCCCAUGUCAAGGUGGUGAAACCCCAUGCGGCGAAGUUGGAUGAUCGGAGCACGCCGAUGAUCCUCCUCGGGUACGAACCGGGGACGGCGGCGUACCACGUCUACGACCCAGCCCGCAACCGUGUGCACGUCUCUCGCGACGUGAUUUUCGACGAGGGCACACGGUGGGACUGGGAGGCGAACGAUGCGGCACCAGCAGGAGUGGAGUUCACCGUCGACACUUUCUCCUACACCGUGACGCGCACGACGUCGCGUCCUCUGGCGAACACAGAACCUGACGAUGCCGCAUCGUCACUGAAGAAGAACGCCGCGACAGACUCUGAGGCGCCACAGGAGGAGAGCACGGGCGGCACGGGCUCCCCCGGCCCGCAACGCGCCACCCCUACAAGUCCAGUCGCCACGGCCGAGCCCGCCGGCGACACUGAAGAGCACUAUGAAGAGCCACAACACCAGCAACAUCGCAUGACGACUCGCGCCCGCGACGGGAUCGUGCAGCCGAACCGGCAGUACGAGGACUACGUCAUGCUGGCCCACGAGGACGAGCUCUAUCUUGGCGAGAUCGACGAGCCCAGGACCUUUGCAGAAGCAGAGGAAGAAGGAACAUGGCGCCGCGCCAUGGACGAGGAGAUGGCAUCGAUCAUCGCCAACAAGACCUGGCGGCUCACUGAGCUACCUGCAGGCCACAAGGCCAUUGGGCUCAAGUGGGUGUAUAAGCUCAAGCACGAUGCCAGCGGCAACGUCCAGAAGCACAAGGCGCGCUUGGUGGCCAAGGGGGUCGUCCAGAAGCAGGGCGUCGACUUUGAGGAGGUGUUCGCUCCCGUGGCACGCCUCGAAUUCGUUCGCCUACUAGUCGCCCUCGCCGCGCACGAGGGCUGGCGUGUCCACCACAUGGACGUGAAGAGCGCCUUCCUCAACGGUGAUUUGAAGGAGGAAGUGUACGUGAUGCAGCCACCGGGCUACGCCAUCGACGGGGAAGAACACAAGGUGCUCCGUCUGGACAAAGCUCUGUACGGUCUGCGACAAGCUCCGCGGGCGUGGAACGCCAAGCUGGACCGCUGCCUCCUCGGACUCGGGUUCACCAGGAGCCCGCCGGAGCAUGCAGUCUAUGGACACGGGAACGGAACAGCACGCCUGCUCAUCGGCGUGUACGUGGACGACCUCAUCAUCACGGGGAACAACGACGACGAGAUCAGCAAGUUCAAGGAGGAGAUGCAGAAGCAAUUUCGCAUGAGCGACCUGGGCUUAUUGAGCUUCUACCUUGGCAUCGAGGUAAAGCAGAUGGCGAACGGCAUCUCCCUCAACCAGGCAGCGUACACCGGCAAGAUCAUCGAGAAGGCCGGCCUGGUGGGGUGCAACCCUGCUCAUACCCCCAUGGAAGCUCGCUUCAAGCUCAGCAGGGUGAGCUCUGCACCAGCCAUGGACGAGAUGGCGUACCGGAGCAUCGUUGGUGCACUUCGCUACCUGGUGCACACGCGCCCAGACAUAGCGUACUCUGUCGGCUAUGUGAGCCGGUUCAUGGAGGCCCCGACGACGGAGCACCUCGCCGCCUUCAAACAAAUCAUCAGGUACGUAGCCGGGACGCAGCACUACGGCUGCUUCUACGCCAGAGGGGCGGCCGAGGCAACUCUGGUGGGCUUCAGCGACAGCGACAUGGCUGGCGACGUCGACACCCGCAAGAGCACGACCGGCGUCCUCUUCUUCCUCGGCCGGAGUCUGAUCAGCUGGCAAUCACACAAGCAGCGAGUGGUGGCCCUGUCCACCUGCGAAGCAGAGUACAUCGCCGCCGCAACGGCGGCCUGCCAAGGCAUGUGGCUCACGCGGCUGCUCGGUGACAUGAAAAACGAAGAGGCCGAACAUGUCAUGCUAAAGAUCGACAACAAGGCAGCUAUCUCCCUCAGCAAGAACCCCGUCUUCCAUGAUCGCAGUAAGCACAUCGACACAAGGUUUCACUUCCUGCGCGAAUGUGUUGAAGACGGGCGUGUUGAGGUUGAGUUCAUCGGCACCAGUGGACAGCUCGCCGACAUCCUGACGAAGGCACUCGGGCGUGUCAAGUUUCAGGAACUCCGAGAAGAAAUUGGUGUGGUUCAAAUCCAGUAG
RNAcentral lists this ribosomal RNA (2736 nucleotides) under Triticum aestivum (bread wheat). RNAcentral describes it as "partial small subunit ribosomal RNA". Lineage: Eukaryota; Viridiplantae; Streptophyta; Magnoliopsida; Poales; Poaceae. The record is from RNAcentral.